CCUACGGGUGGCAGCAGUGGGGAAUAUUGCGCAAUGGGCGAAAGCCUGACGCAGCGACGCCGCGUGAGGGAUGAAGGUCUUCGGAUCGUAAACCUCUGUCAGCAGGGAAGAACGGUCACUGUGCUAAUCAGCAGUGAAUUGACGGUACCUGCAAAGGAAGCACCGGCUAACUCCGUGCCAGCAGCCGCGGUAAUACGGAGGGUGCGAGCGUUAAUCGGAAUUACUGGGCGUAAAGCGCACGUAGGCGGUAUGUCAAGUCAAGGGUGAAAUCCCCGCGCUCAACGUGGGAACUGCCUUUGAAACUGGCAAACUGGAGUGUGUGAGAGGGUAGUAGAAUUCCAGGUGUAGGAGUGAAAGCCGUAGAGAGCUGGAGGAACAUCAGUGGCGAAGGCGACUAUCUGGCACAUAACUGACGCUGAGGAGCGAAAGCGUGGGUAGCAAACAGGAUUAGAUACCCCAGUAGUC
This 465-nucleotide ribosomal RNA is filed under the name uncultured bacterium. RNAcentral describes it as "partial 16S ribosomal RNA". It matches the Rfam family "Bacterial small subunit ribosomal RNA", at positions 338 to 795 of the family's 1533-position model. The record is from RNAcentral.